Molecule: long non-coding RNA, 2158 nt
Organism: Equus caballus (horse)
Lineage: Eukaryota; Metazoa; Chordata; Mammalia; Perissodactyla; Equidae
Source: Ensembl
UUUUUUUUUUUGACAUGGCUUCUUGUAAAACAAACUUUCCAAGAGGCAACAAUGUGUAAUUGAUAUUUUGACCAGUCAGCAUGAGUGUAACAGUGACAACCUGAUCUAUUCCUUUUAAAGAUAAUUACCUAGUAAAAAAUUCAGAAUGAUUAAAAUUUACACUAACAUGCUCUAUAAAAAUGUUCAAGUCUGAUGCUGUGAAAGCAAUCUAGUGCUAUAUUUCUACCUCCUCAUUUGUCUUAAUUAUUUGGUAAGUGGGAUUAUGAUGAAUAACUGGAGGGGCUUAGCAAACAAAAACUGGAUGAAAGAAUAUGCAUGAAAAAACAGCUUCUUGUUUGAUAAAUGUGGAGUUCUUCAUUACCAGUAUAUAUUCACAAAUUCACAGAUGUUACUUAAAGAAAGCACAGACAGUUUACUUGGCCUAAAAAUAUUUUAAUGUUUACUCAAAAAGCACCUCUUCAGGUCUUGAGAACAUGGAAAAGAACAGAGGGCUUUUCGAUAGUUACUUUUUAAAAGUAAUUAUAAUCAACUCUGCAUUUCAAACCUGUUUAAUUUGGUUUUGUGAACCUUUGAACUAUAUGUAUGUGUGUAAGGACAUGACGUACAUAUAUGGCAUAUAGAUAAACUAUACAUACCGAGUGUAGAAAUAUAUAUAUAUACACACAUAUGUGCACUCACUCCAUCUAUCUGGUAUAGGCUAAUUUUGGAAGAACUCCCAUAAGUUUUGCUGCUUCUCCCACAACUACUGCCAUCACCAUCAGAAUUCAUAAUCAAACCUAACCUUUUUGUUUGGGGCACCAAAUCCGAAGACAAAAUUAAUUUGCACCAGUAAACUUCAAGCUGCUUUCUUUCUUGAAAAACUAAUGUUUAAUGUAAUGUCUGUUAAGAUACUGUUCCAAAUUGUUGAUUGCAUGUGGUUAAUGUUGCAUUAGAGCACUUUGCAAUUGCGUAAUUCAUUAAUGUUUUGUGAGCUUGCAUUUGUGAGUUACUGAAUGAUCAGAUUGAAUCUUGUCAAGUAUCACAUUGUACAUCUCGCAUAGAUGUCAAUGACUGCCAGUAGUAAUACAGUUUGUAAUGAAACUAUCUAAAAUUCUUGUUUUAUCACAUCUGUUAUCUGUAAAACACUUGUAACUAGCCUUUUUAAUUUAUUAUUUGAAUUUUAGGAUAGUGAAUCACUAAUUUUUAGUUGCUCAUGUUAGCAUUUUAGUGAUUACUAAGCAUUUCUGUCAGUCUUUGAAAAAAGGACACAUGUUUUGUGCUUUGAAGAUCUCUGAAGAAUUUCUCUUAUAUUAGAAUGGGCAUGUAUUGUAAUUGUUUUAUGUCAAAUGAUCUGUGCUAUAGAAAAAACAUUAACCUUUGUUCAAAAAAGAAGCAGAUAAACUUGGCCUUUCCAAGUGGUAAGAAUGAUCUGUCACUAUAAUAUACUGUAUGUUUACAUUUUAUUUAAAUUUAAUCUCUUAUGUAUAGUCUGAUAACUUUCCCCCAAAACAACAGUGAUUGCAAUUGUUUUCUAGAAACUUCUUAAAAGUGCCACAUUUGGCAGUACAAAUGAGUUUGAGUGUAAUAGCCCAGAGAUUUCUAUAUAGUUGAAUGUCUAAAAUGGUAAAAUGUGCCACUGUGACAGUUACAGUGGCUUAUGUUUUUCAUAGUAACUCAAAUGAACUCCUAUUUUUGAUAGUAAAUGUCAUUUAAUAGUGUCUUGCCCUUUGAGUCUCACUGCAAAAUCAGUGCAGAGGAGAAAACAAUUUUUAAUGUAAUCUUAUUUUACCUCAUAUACUGUACAUUCCAAAAACUCUAAACUUUUUAAAGAUUAUAGAUACACUACCAAACAUAUCACCUUAAAAUUGUAUAAGGUUGAACUUCAUACAAAUGGAAAAAUAUAAUCUCAUAAAAAUACAUAAACUAUGUAGCAAAAGUAUCUUUAAAAUCCAUGGAAAAUAAAAGUUGUAUCAUUCUUUUUUGAGAUAUGUUUAUUGUAUUCAUAUACAUUCACUAUUUGCUGCCUCGUUUCGAAAAUGUUAAGAUUUUCCCUCUUCUUGCAAUGGGUGGGCCUACAGUAUUCACAUCUUGAACACAGAGGACCCGUAUUCAAAAAGGGUAAAGUCCAGUAAGUUAAAGAAUGAAAUUAGAAGUUUUAUCCUAGUGACUUGAUUUUGUG